UCGGAGUCGAUGCUAUUAAAUAAUCAAGUGGAUUUCUCUACGAUUCGUGUCUUCAUACACGAAGUCGUUUAGUAAAGACCUAUUCCGCGGUACUUUUGUCAAGUCGAUCUCUUGAAGAACAAAUUGGGGUUUGACGAAGCAUUCAACUACAAAGAAGAGCAACACUAUAAUGCAGCGUUGAAGAGGUACUUCCCCGAUGGCAUAGAUAUCUACUUUGAGAACGUGGGAGGGAAGAUGCUCGAAGCGGUGCUAAACAACAUGAGACACCACGGCCAUGUUGCGCUUUGUGGGAUGGUAUCCCAAUGCAGCCUUGAGCAGCCCGAAGGCGUCCACAACUUGCAUAACCUAUUGACAAAACGGAUCCGUAUAGAAGGAUUUUACGCUAGCGACCACUACCAUCUCUACCCGAAGUUCUUGUAGAUGGUUGUGCCUCUAAUAAAUGAAGAGAAGAUCACAUACGUCGAAGACAUUGCCGAAGGCAUUGAAAGCGCACCUGGGGCUCUUGUUGACUUAUACUCCGGUCGCAACGUCGGGAAGCAGGUGGUGGUGGUUGCUCGUGAGUAAUUCUGUUUUUCGCAGAGUGAAUCAUCGGAAAUAAGGAAUGAUUUAAAUAAGGUUAUAAUCAUGAAUUAUAAAUAUAUAAUCAUGAAUUUUAUGUAUUGUUAUUAAUUGAAACAUGAAGGACUUAAAUAAGGUAAACAUGAAGGACUUAAAUAAGGUUAAUCAUCCCAAAUAACACAAUCUGUACUGCAAUUGUAUUGAUUUUCAAACUAUUGCACAAAUUAAGACACAUCACCUCCAA
Salvia splendens (bonfire salvia) is the source of this 802-nucleotide long non-coding RNA. RefSeq lists it as uncharacterized. The transcript is spliced from 3 exons. The record is from RefSeq and is a predicted model, not a curated record. Lineage: Eukaryota; Viridiplantae; Streptophyta; Magnoliopsida; Lamiales; Lamiaceae.